UUCCGGUUGAUCCCGCCGGACCUGACUGCUAUCGGAUUGAUACUAAGCCAUGCGAGUCUUUGUAGUAAUACAAGGCAGACGGCUCAGUAACACGUAGUCAACCUACCCUAUGGACGAGAAUAAUCUCGGGAAACUGAGCAUAAUUCUUGAUAGAUCAUAAUGCCUGGAAUGGUUUAUGGUUAAAAUGAUUCGUCGCCAUAGGAUGGGACUGCGGCCUAUCAGCUUGUUGGUGAGGUAAUGGCCCACCAAGGCGAUUACAGGUACGGGCUCUGAGAGGAGAAGCCCGGAGAUGGGUACUGAGACACGGACCCAGGCCCUAUGGGGCGCAGCAGGCGAGAAAACUUUGCAAUGUGCGAAAGCACGACAAGGUUAAUCCGAGUGAUUUCUGCUAAAGAAAUCUUUUGCCAGUCGUAAAACCGCUGGUGAAUAAGGGGUGGGCAAGUUCUGGUGUCAGCCGCCGCGGUAAAACCAGCACCUCAAGUGGUCAGGAUGAUUAUUGGGCCUAAAGCAUCCGUAGCCUGCUUUGUAAGUUUUCGGUUAAAUCCAUGUGCUCAACGCAUGGGCUGCCGAAAAUACUGCAUAGCUAGGGAGUGGGAGAGGUAGACGGUACUCAGUAGGUAGGGGUAAAAUCCUUUGAUCUAUUGAUGACCACCUGUGGCGAAGGCGGUCUACCAGAACACGUUCGACGGUGAGGGAUGAAAGCUGGGGGAGCAAACCGGAUUAGAUACCCGGGUAGUCCCAGCUGUAAACGAUGCAGACUCGAUGAUGCAUUGGCAUAAUAGCCAUUGCAGUGUCGCAGGGAAGCCGUUAAGUCUGCCGCCUGGGAAGUACGUACGCAAGUAUGAAACUUAAAGGAAUUGGCGGGGGAGCACCACAAGGGGUGAAGCCUGCGGUUCAAUUGGAUUCAACGCCGGG
Molecule: ribosomal RNA, 915 nt
Filed under: uncultured marine archaeon
Lineage: Archaea
Description: bacterial SSU rRNA
Rfam family: Archaeal small subunit ribosomal RNA
Source: RNAcentral